GGAGGGGAGCAGGGUAGAGCUUGGACACCUGCUGAUACCAAGUGUCACUGGAGCAGGACUGUAAAGGGAGCCACUAGGGUAUCUUUGCAAAAGAGAACAAAUGGGUAAUUCAGAAGGGAAGAAUUUAUUGGAGUCAAGUUGACCUUGGCUGGGAGUGAACUCAGCGGGGCCUCACUACUUCAUGGACUAGGACUUAAGUCUCUUGGUAGUAGCCAUUCACAGAAGAGCUAAACUCACCCAACUCAGUUAUCUGACAUGCCCAUUUGAGUCAAUAUAAAGCUUUGGUCAGAAUCCUAAGAUAAUACAAAGCCAAAUUAUGGAGGGGCAAGAAGCUUAUGCCACUUGUAGCCUGCUAAUACUGGGCAGAAAUGUCUGCUACAGACCCUUACACUGCAGGUGGCAUUACUGGUUUUCUGGAACCAGACUGGAGAAAGAAUGAAAUUAGCUUGCUCAACUGAAAGCAGUGCCCAGCUUUUCUGAUGUGUGGUUGCUGACCCCACCUGAAGUAAAGGGAGCAGGGACACUCGAUGGGACCCUGAUAAGGAAUAUCAUCUCUAGGAGUGACAUUGACUUGAAUCUUAUCAAGUGUCAGUUCAGUAAGAUGUAUGGCAAAACCCUCAGCAGCAUGAUCACGGAUGACACCAGUGGUGACUACAAGAACGCCCUCCCUGAACCUGGUGGGAAGUGACCCAUGAAGUCACUGAAGAAUGAGAGCCAAGACCAAGAAGCAGGGGUCUCCAGGCCCUGCCCCCAUGACCUUGGCCAUGGGUGGGGGUUGAGGGGCCCUCAGCCAGCUUCCAGUCUUUAUCUCCUAGUGCUUUCUGGCCAACAUUUCUGACCCAGAGGAUGACACCAGCCCCAGCUCCUCCUUCCAUCUUCUCUCCCAGAUCAUCUCUAGGUCAUGCACAAAGACUUUAGCAAAGCUCUUGCUGGACAAAUAUGUCAGCCUACAGGGGCUCAUGGGUCAUUUCUUCCUCCUAGACAGAGCCUGCCUGAGCUUAACUGGUCACAGAAUUACCUGGGCAUAGGUUAUGCAGAUACCUUGGCCCAGUCCCAUCUACAGAAUCAAGGGUCCCCCAGGAGGACUAGGGAACAUAGAUCUCUAACAAGUGUCUCAGUCAUUUGCUUCCUUAUCACCCACCAGCCAGAGGGCCCUAAGAGCCCUUUUGUAGUAGAGCACAGGCCCCUGAAUUGCUGAGAAAGGGAUGCAUAUCCAUGUCAAUUGGGAUGCCACCAGUCUCCUUGAAAAAGUCAGACUCUGACAUCCUCACACUAUCCUGAUGACAGAGUAAUUGGACUACAGAGCAAUGUCCUGACCCAAGGGCUCUAUGUCCUAGAAGCUCAGGCUUCCUGGUUGUUCAGCAGUUCUGCUCUGUCCUCUGUGACACAGCAUGCAGCACAGGGGAUGACAACCCUGAGCAUGACUCAUCCCGACCCAAGGCCACCAAGCCUGGAGACCUGCAGAGGCCUCAUUUUCAUCUUCCUAGAUAUUUUCUGGGCUUUCAGAAUAAUAAACAUCUGCAUAUUCAGAAAGGGUCUUUGGAUUUGUACCAGUGACCAGAGCAAGGCCAGUUUCAUUGGCCAGAAGCAGAGUUUCAGAGCUACCCAACCUGAGCACACUUGUGGGCAUCCUCUGAGGGACCGCUGGGUGGUCACUGGUACCACUGGUGGGUACCACUGGUGGGUACCAGUGGUGGAUGCUCACUGUUGCCCCAGGCAUGACACUUGUAGAUGAGGAUAGUUUCUUUUAACAUCUAUUUUGUACUCUAAAUUCUGACAUCUCUGGGUUGGAAGGGGCUUUUAAAUGUCACCUGGUUUCUUCCUACUGCACCUUGACUGCCCUCCAAGGCACAUGCUCCACAUCAUCCUUGGUGCACGUGGUCUGUACUUGUUGUACAUGGGGUGUACUUGGCUGCUUCCAGUGACAGGAACUCACAGCUUCCUUGGGUGGCCCAGUCUUUUCCCAAAAAGUGAUUCACAGUGUUCACCCUUAACUGAGCCAAAAUCUACCCUCUUGUGUCCACUGCAGUCUGUCAUCUAGGGCUACAACAUUUGUCCUUUCCCAAUAGCAACGUUUGGUAUCAUAAGCAGCCCACCUAUUCCACUAAAAUUUCUGCCAAAGUUAGAGGUCCCCAGUCCUUCCAACUGCCCCUCCUGGAACCUCAUCAGGGGCCAUGGGCUCUGCCUCUGAACAUGAUCCCGUUCAUAAACUCCAGGGUGUGGCCCCAGGAGUAAAGGGCACACCCUGGAAUUCAAGAUCAGGGGGAUGACACAGGGUGGGCUCUGAGCUCACACAGAUGGGAGGUGGAUCCUGGCUCUGCCCUGUGCUGGCUCCAUGACGCUGAGCUAACAUUCUCUCUCCCUCUCUCUCUCUCUCUCUCUCCCUCCCUCCCUCCCUCCCUCC
Heterocephalus glaber (naked mole-rat) is the source of this 2404-nucleotide long non-coding RNA. NCBI's taxonomy places the organism in Eukaryota, Metazoa, Chordata, Mammalia, Rodentia, Bathyergidae. The record is from Ensembl.